GUUUGAUUCUGGCUCAGGAUGAACGCUGGCGGCGUGCCUAAUACAUGCAAGUCGAACGAAACUUCUUUAUCACCGAGUGCUUGCACUCACCGAUAAAGAGUUGAGUGGCGAACGGGUGAGUAACACGUGGGCAACCUGCCCAAAAGAGGGGGAUAACACUUGGAAACAGGUGCUAAUACCGCAUAACCAUAGUUACCGCAUGGUAACUAUGUAAAAGGUGGCUAUGCUACCGCUUUUGGAUGGGCCCGCGGUGCAUUAGCUAGUUGGUGGGGUAAAGGCUUACCAAGGCAAUGAUGCGUAGCCGAACUGAGAGGUUGAUCGGCCACAUUGGGACUGAGACACGGCCCAAACUCCUACGGGAGGCAGCAGUAGGGAAUCUUCCACAAUGGGCGAAAGCCUGAUGGAGCAACGCCGCGUGGGUGAAGAAGGUCUUCGGAUCGUAAAACCCUGUUGUUAGAGAAGAAAGUGCGUGAGAGUAACUGUUCACGUUUCGACGGUAUCUAACCAGAAAGCCACGGCUAACUACGUGCCAGCAGCCGCGGUAAUACGUAGGUGGCAAGCGUUAUCCGGAUUUAUUGGGCGUAAAGGGAACGCAGGCGGUCUUUUAAGUCUGAUGUGAAAGCCUUCGGCUUAACCGGAGUAGUGCAUUGGAAACUGGGAGACUUGAGUGCAGAAGAGGAGAGUGGAACUCCAUGUGUAGCGGUGAAAUGCGUAGAUAUAUGGAAGAACACCAGUGGCGAAAGCGGCUCUCUGGUCUGUAACUGACGCUGAGGUUCGAAAGCGUGGGUAGCAAACAGGAUUAGAUACCCUGGUAGUCCACGCCGUAAACGAUGAAUGCUAAGUGUUGGAGGGUUUCCGCCCUUCAGUGCUGCAGCUAACGCAAUAAGCAUUCCGCCUGGGGAGUACGACCGCAAGGUUGAAACUCAAAGGAAUUGACGGGGGCCCGCACAAGCGGUGGAGCAUGUGGUUUAAUUCGAAGCAACGCGAAGAACCUUACCAGGUCUUGACAUCUUUUGACAAUCCUAGAGAUAGGACUUUCCCUUCGGGGACAAAAUGACAGGUGGUGCAUGGUUGUCGUCAGCUCGUGUCGUGAGAUGUUGGGUUAAGUCCCGCAACGAGCGCAACCCUUAUUGUUAGUUGCCAGCAUUAAGUUGGGCACUCUAGCAAGACUGCCGGUGACAAACCGGAGGAAGGUGGGGAUGACGUCAAAUCAUCAUGCCCCUUAUGACCUGGGCUACACACGUGCUACAAUGGACGGUACAACGAGUCGCAAGACCGCGAGGUUUAGCAAAUCUCUUAAAGCCGUUCUCAGUUCGGAUUGUAGGCUGCAACUCGCCUACAUGAAGUCGGAAUCGCUAGUAAUCGCGGAUCAGCAUGCCGCGGUGAAUACGUUCCCGGGCCUUGUACACACCGCCCGUCACACCAUGAGAGUUUGUAACACCCAAAGCCGGUGGGGUAACCUUUUGGAGCCAGCCGUCUAAGGUGGGACAGAUGAUUGGGGUGAAGUCGUAAAAAGGUAGC
This 1521-nucleotide ribosomal RNA is filed under the name uncultured bacterium. Its description in RNAcentral is "16S ribosomal RNA". It matches the Rfam family "Bacterial small subunit ribosomal RNA". The record is from RNAcentral.